CCUACGGGAGGCAGCAGUGGGGAAUAUUGGGCAAUGGGCGCAAGCCUGACCCCGCAACGCCGCGUGAAGGAAGAAGGCUCUCGGGUUGUAAACUUCUUUUAUUAGGGACGAAGCAAGUGACGGUACCUGAUGAAUAAGCAACGGCUAACUACGUGCCAGAAGCCGCGGUAAUACGUAGGUGGCAAGCGUUAUCCGGAUUUACUGGGUGUAAAGGGCGUGUAGGCGGGAAAGCAAGUCAGAUGUGAAAACCAUGGGCUCAACCUGUGGACUGCAUUUGAUACUGUUUUGCUUGAGUACUGGAGAGGCAGACGGAAUUCCUGGUGUAGCGGUGAAAUGCGUAGAUAUUAGGAGGAACACCAGUGGCGAAGGCGGGCUGCUGGACAGCAACUGACGCUGAGGCGCGAAAGCGUGGGGAGCAAACAGGAUUAGAUACCCCAGUAGUC
This 443-nucleotide ribosomal RNA is filed under the name uncultured bacterium. RNAcentral describes it as "partial 16S ribosomal RNA". It matches the Rfam family "Bacterial small subunit ribosomal RNA", at positions 338 to 795 of the family's 1533-position model. The record is from RNAcentral.